CCAAUAGCGUAUAUUAAAGUUGUUGCAGUUAAAAAGCUCGUAGUUGAACUUCGGGGUCUACCCAUUGGUCAGGCUUAAUUGUCUGCACUGGUGAGAUGGAUCUCUACCUUCUGAGGAACUUUCAUGCCAUUUAUUUGGUGUGAUUGGAAAUCAGGACUGUUACUUUGAAAAAAUUAGAGUGUUUAAAGCAGACUAUCGUCUUAAUACAUUAGCAUGGAAUAAUGAAAUAGGACGGACUGAUUCUAUUUCGUUGGUUUCUAGGAUCACCGUAAUGAUUAAUAGUGAUAGUUGGGGGCAUUAGUAUUCAAUUGUCAGAGGUGAAAUUCUUUGAUUUAUUGAAGACUAACCACUGCGAAAGCAUUUGCCAAGGAUGUUUUCAUUAAUCAAGAACGAAAGUUAGGGGAUCGAAGACGAUCAGAUACCGUCGUAGUCUUAACCAUACACUAUGCCGACUAGGGAUCGGACGAAGUUAAUUUUAUAAUGACGCCUUCUGCACCUUACG
RNAcentral lists this ribosomal RNA (502 nucleotides) under uncultured Glomeromycotina. Its description in RNAcentral is "partial small subunit ribosomal RNA". It matches the Rfam family "Eukaryotic small subunit ribosomal RNA", at positions 591 to 1092 of the family's 1831-position model. Lineage: Eukaryota; Fungi; Glomeromycota. The record is from RNAcentral.